Molecule: ribosomal RNA, 504 nt
Filed under: uncultured bacterium
Lineage: Bacteria
Description: partial 16S ribosomal RNA
Rfam family: Bacterial small subunit ribosomal RNA
Source: RNAcentral
AUUGAACGCUGGCGGCAGGCCUAACACAUGCAAGUCGAACGGUAGCACAGAGAGCUUGCUCUCGGGUGACGAGUGGCGGACGGGUGAGUAAUGUCUGGGAAACUGCCCGAUGGAGGGGGAUAACUACUGGAAACGGUAGCUAAUACCGCAUAACGUCGCAAGACCAAAGUGGGGGACCUUCGGGCCUCACACCAUCGGAUGUGCCCAGAUGGGAUUAGCUAGUAGGUGGGGUAAUGGCUCACCUAGGCGACGAUCCCUAGCUGGUUUGAGAGGAUGACCAGCCACACUGUAACUGAGACACUGUACAGACUCCUACGUGAGGCAGAAGUGGGGAAUAUUGCACAAGGGGCGCAAGCCUGAUGCAGCCAUGCCGCGUGUAUGAAGAAGGCCUUCGGGUUGUAAAGUACUUUCAGCGGGGAGGAAGGCGGUGAAGUUAAUAACUUCACCGAUUGACGUUACCCGCAGAAGAAGCACCGGCUAACUCCGUGCCAGCCGCCGCGGUAA